Mus musculus (house mouse) is the source of this 146-nucleotide non-coding RNA. Lineage: Eukaryota; Metazoa; Chordata; Mammalia; Rodentia; Muridae. The record is from Rfam.
CAAAGUGAGCUGCUUUUAACAGAGAAGUAACAAAACAUCAAAUUCAAAGAGAACCUUCCAGGAAAGGGAUCCUGAGAAAAGGCUACCACGUCCAAGGAAGGCAGCAGGCAUGCAAAUUACCCACUCCUGACCCAGGGAAGUAGUGA